RNAcentral lists this ribosomal RNA (253 nucleotides) under uncultured bacterium. Its description in RNAcentral is "partial 16S ribosomal RNA". It matches the Rfam family "Bacterial small subunit ribosomal RNA", at positions 524 to 776 of the family's 1533-position model. The record is from RNAcentral.
UACGUAGGGGGCAAGCGUUGUCCGGAUUUAUUGGGCGUAAAGAGCGUGUAGGCGGCUUUACAGGUCCGUUGUGAAAACUCGAGGCUCAACCUCGAGACGCCGGUGGAAACCGUAAGGCUAGAGUCCGGAAGAGGAGAGUGGAAUUCCUGGUGUAGCGGUGAAAUGCGCAGAUAUCAGGAGGAACACCCGUGGCGAAAGCGGCUCUCUGGGACGGUACUGACGCUGAGGAGCGAAAGCCAGGGGAGCAAACGGG